Molecule: non-coding RNA, 18 nt
Filed under: Rattus norvegicus (Norway rat)
Lineage: Eukaryota; Metazoa; Chordata; Mammalia; Rodentia; Muridae
Source: RNAcentral
GCUUUCUCAUAGCUCACG